UCUGUAAACCCUAAACUACAAACGCCGCUUUCAUUCUUUUCAUCUAUCUUUGUGUUUUCUCCUCUCCAUUGAAGCCGCUUCGAUUCUUUGAGGUAUCCUGCAAUCCUCAACUCGAACCCUAAUUUGUGGUACAAUUGCUUUUAUUGUUAAUUGUAUGUUAUUAUGAAUUUGGGUUUUGUUGUUUUUUUGAACAAUGGGUUUUGAUAAGAAGAGAGCGACAGACAGAGGUGGUGUCGCAGACAUGGCGACGACCUUUCUGCUCAACUUGCUAGGGUUCCGACACUAUGUUCAUGAGUUCCUUCACUUUGAAGUCAGAAGUCAGAAGUAAUAAGGGAUUUUGUUUUGGUUUUGUGGAAUUCAUGUCAUUGGAUUCCAUGCAUAGUGCUAUAAAGCAACUGUUAGUUUGAAUCCAAUGAUUCGAACAAUGGUUCCACCUCCGUUUCAGCAGAUGGCACCUGCACCAUGGCUUCCACCAUCACCACCAGUGAUCCGGACAAUGGUUCCACCUCCACUUAGCAGAUGGCACCUGCACCAUGGUUUCCACCAUCACCACCAGUGACUAGCGUUUUUUGGAACACCACAAAUGUGCAAGGUUGCCUGAAGGAACUCCGAAACACUUGAUCUUGCAGAAGCAAUGGAGAAAGAGUUGGAGAGGCUUAUUGCAAUGAAAGGUACCGAGCAGCAUAUUGAAGGAACAUAUGAUAAAGCUAAUGAAACUGCAACUGGAAGGCUUUUGAAGUUUUUAGAGAAUAACAGGAUAUCAUUGGAUACUAAAGAGAAAAUCUCACUGGAAGCAGCUAACGGUUUGAUGGUGAAGCUAAAAAACAAUCUUGAACCAUUUAAGGUUAUAACCGAGGAUAAAACGCCAUGGGAGAAGUCUGGAGCAGUGUGACUGUCGAAUAAAAUGCAAAAGCACAAAAGAAACAAACUUUGGCGGAAAAGAAAGAGACAACACGCUGGGGAAAUGCUUGCAAAAGAACACGAGCGAUUUAACCAAGUUGAUCAAGAAGGUAAUGAAUGGAGGGCUAGGGAAAUUGCAAAGGAAACCGCUAAGCGUAAGGUCGAGAAAAUGAAGGAAAUUGCAAAACAAAAGGCUAACGAGGAGAUAAGGAGAUAAGAAUCUGAGCUUGAGCUACUGUUGAUCGUGGAGAAGUUGCAAGAACUACAGUCCAUCAGUCAGAAAUUAACAAAACAAGACCAGGUGUUCGAUGAAUUGCCUGAAUGGUGUUCAAUGAAAUGCUUUAACUGUUGAUGUAGACCAGUUCGAUGAAAUGCUUGAACUGUGUUCGGUGAAAUGCCUGAAAUUUUGAUGUAGACUAGGUGUACGAUGCAAAGUCUGAACUGUAAUGUCUGUACUUAAAGGCUUGGCAAAACAAACUCAUUAACAAAUUUUGGGUCAAGAUGGGUAUUUAACUUAAAAGUUUGGAUUCUUUUGGGCCAGCAAUAAAGUGUUGGUAGGUCAGGAUGGGCAUAAGUAAAUAAUGUAAAAAAGGCGGAUGGGUCAGGAUGGGCGACACAAAAUCAAACAACAGUUCAGGAUGGGCGCUCCCCUCAAAAUCACUUAGGACGUCUGGGUUCUCUCAAUUAGAUAAACGCUUUCAAAAUGAUGAUCCUUUUAUGCCCAUGGAUGUUCCUUUUGGAAGCAUAUUUCUCCAAGAUCAAUUUAGCGCACCAAGAGGACUCAUGAUGCCUCCUUUUAUUCCAACUAAGGCUUUGAAGCUGUUGGGCCUCCUGAAGCUUUAUAGUGUUCAGUCUGUGAACAUUGGGAUGUCGAUGAUGUAUUCAAGACCUGGAUAUGUUUGGUGUUUCAUGUUUUUAAAUAAAUGUGUUUUUUACAAAGAUUUUUUAUUACUUAAAGAGGGGUAAUGUUCUAGAUAUGUUAGUUUUGUAAAUAAAUGUUCUUGCUACAUAUAGUCGACUGGACAAAGCUGUAAUGAAUCAUAUGGGGUAUGUACAAUAAGGAGGUUUCACACAUCAAAAGUACAUUUUCGGA
Helianthus annuus (common sunflower) is the source of this 1993-nucleotide long non-coding RNA. RefSeq lists it as uncharacterized. Lineage: Eukaryota; Viridiplantae; Streptophyta; Magnoliopsida; Asterales; Asteraceae. The record is from RefSeq and is a predicted model, not a curated record. The transcript is spliced from 10 exons.